This is a long non-coding RNA of Triticum aestivum (bread wheat), 1797 nucleotides long. RefSeq lists it as uncharacterized. NCBI's taxonomy places the organism in Eukaryota, Viridiplantae, Streptophyta, Magnoliopsida, Poales, Poaceae. The transcript has 6 exons. The record is from RefSeq and is a predicted model, not a curated record.
CUCUCCUCUUCCUCUCCCUUUCCUCUCGCCUCACCUCUCUCUCUCUCCCUCCAAACCCUAACCCGCGCCCGCCUCCCUUCCCCGCCGCUGGCCGCCGCCACCGACACUCGCCCGGGCACCCAUCCUCGACCUCACGCCACCCAUCUAGAGAGAAGAAGAUGGGGGUUGCGAGCGACGAGGUCGACGUGCCGUCGUCCCGUCUUUUCUGAGGUCGACGAGAGCCAAUCCCACGCCGCCGCCAUCUCCUUCACCUAGCUGGCCGCCGCCUUGGCCUCCUCCUUCUCUUCCGUAGCGACCUCUCCUCCUCCGCGGUGCUCGGCGGAGGCAGCACGAGCAGACGCCGCACUACGCGAGAGCGUCCUCCUAGGCCGCAUCUGAGAGGAACCAGGACCUCGUGGUGAGGUGAGCCACGGCGGCGGUGCCCACGCGCCUAUGCCAUCCCCCGCGGCUGCCCCGUCCUCGACCAUCGCCCACCCCUCCGGGAGGGAGAGGCGUGGUGGCGUUAAGGAGAGCUCUGCCGCCGUGGUGUCGCUCCUUCCUCCGGUGCCACCGCUGCCCUCCGGACCGGCAUCCUCGUGUUCGUGCUCUCUCUCUCUCUCUCUAAUCCUCAUCAUAAUUUUCUUACUGCUGAUCCGGUUUUAUGUAUGCCCACAAGGUGUUUGACAAAAAUCCAAGUAGUCUGCACAGAAGAUUAGCCAUCACAUGUAAUACAUUACAUAGAUUAAAUACAUGUAUUUAGAAAUAUGUGCAGGUCUGGAUUUGGCCCAAGGUUGUGCCCUUGCUCUCUGGAAAUGAAGUUUUGUUCUCAUCCAAGUGCUAUAGGAGACGAGCCGGUGGCAAGCAACCGCGGGUGGCCUCCUCCGUCGUUCCCUGUUCGAUCUGGCGCUUGCAAGAGGAAGCUGCCAAGCCAGGCACAAGCAGAGAGCACCGUAUCACCGCUCCAUAUGAAGCUGGUAAUGGAAAAUCUCAGUGGUGCACCAUUUGAGGCAUUAUUGACCAACACACAUGUCUAACAUUUGUAGACUGCUAGCGAGCUACAUUCCGUAGCAAGAAUUGAUAUGGUGUGCUGAUAAGUUCACAAUCAAGAAGGAUCAUCCCUAUUCUAAGGUCAAUAUAUGCUUCCUUGGAAAUGAUCAAUCAUCUUCUUAGGUCAAGGAAGACUCGAAGGACUACAUGUGGCCACCUUUGUAUGGCCAAUUGUUUUGUAGACUUUCAGUAUCCUUCAUCCGCCGUUGGGUUCGUUCCGCCUCAGCCAGGAUCUUCUCGGCCCUGCUCUGAUGUUGUGAAAACUCAUGCAUUCCGACAGCCGCCUCCAUGCUCCAACUGCUGCAGCCUGCAGGUACCCAGAGCUAUGGCCUCUUGUGUGCACCGAUCAUGAGAAGAAAUUUAUUUGACAACAGAAUAACUAGGAGAACAAAUAAUCCUGAUUUUACUGGCUGAAUACCACUGUGCCAGAAUGCUGAGUCGGUUAUUCAUAUAAAGAGAGAAAUGAAUGAGUGUUGCUGCAUUUGUUUGGUCAUGCUUGCACCAGAGAAGAACUGCAUUUGUUUGGUCAUCGUGGCAUGACGGCAAUAUCAAACUCUUUGUUUGGGCAUCACACAUGUAUGUGCCUCCAUCUUCACAACACAUGCAUAUUGCCAUUGAGAGAUGAUCUUGAUUUAUUGUUAGUUUAUCACAUGGUUCAAGCUGUACUCUUGAUUUUGUUCAUAAAAGUUGGUUUAUUGUUAGUUCAUCAAAUGGUUUAUUCUUUCCCCUGAACCAAAAAAUCGGUUGUUGACGUUUUACAUGUGGUAAACU